GAAUGUUUGUUUUAUAAGAGGGUUGCUAAGUUUCUAAUACGUUUUUUAAAAUAUUACCAUUGAAAUACUUCAGUUGCUCUUCCUAAGUGUGACAUUUUCACCAAGAGCCAGCGCUUCCCUUCUGCCUGGGACCCAAGAUUUCAACACUGUUUUCUUCCUAAGUCAGGAAGAAGAAAGCAGCUGGCCAAGACCUUCCACUCAUCACUAUUUCUCCACCUCUGUUUGCUUUUCUUUCCCGGCUUCCAUUAUGCUUGGCCUCCUUCAAUCAUUUGACUUCUGGCACAGGUCCAGCACACUGCAGAACUCUAGGAUAUGUUCCUUCCUUCCUUACUGCACGUGCAACCUCAUUAAGCCUGAUAGAGGCUCUCUCUGUUGUUCCAGAUUAGAAAUGGGAACGCAGCCCAAAGGAGAAUGCAGAAAAAAUAUGUUCCAUCUGGUGGCUGAUUAAAUGGUGACUUCAGGUGAUGACCACAUUCCGGGAGGCAGGAAGGCAGUGGCUCCUGAAGGGAACUGUAAUAAAGGUCAAGGACUACGAUGUUCAGGCAAUGAGAGGAUUUGGACUUUGUCAUCAGCAUCCUAGCCAUGGCCCCAGGAGUAGUAAUAGUAGUAGUAGUAGUAGUAGUAGUGGUCUCUCGGUAACCGAGGAUGACGAUUGUCUUUGUGCAUGUGUGCACAAAGACACUUGUGCGUGAAGGAGAUUUAAGUGGAAAAGUCGGUGCACAGAGAAAGUCCCACUCUCUCGGCGUUGGAAGCCUGGGUCCAGUGGCACAAAAAGACGUUACACCUGGAGACUUCCUCAGCUGCAUUGGAUGGCCGUGUUGUCUUUUGUGCUCCAACACGCCCUAAGCACUCCACAGUGCUUUGCUGCGUCGCCCUCUCAGCCAUUGAACCUUCUUAUUGGUUUCUUCCGUCUGUUCAGCCAAAGUACCCAGGAGAGCAGUUGCUAAAGACUAUGUCUCCAGUGGGAUCUGAGGAGAGAUCAGAUACAAAAAAGGAAAAGUAGGGUCAAAGCUCUACAAAGCUCAGCAGAAGAACUACCCCCAUACAAAAAGGGAACAUCUUGAGGCCUCCAAGAAAAAGGAUUGCCAAGAGCUGUAGGUUACUCCUUUAUCACAGGUGCACUCUAAGUCUGACUCCAUUCCCCCCUAGAGUCUGUAAGUAUUAGUGGCAGAGUACAUCAUAAACUUUUGUAGGGAAUGUUUUGUGCCAACCAUCAUCCUAAAUACUAACAUAUAAAACUAAUGAAAUCUGGCUAGCUAUUUGACAACUGGAAAUCAUGUAAAGAAGCACAUUGGCAGAGUCUUGGGGGAUAGAGCAAUAGAAAAAGAGACAGAGAGAGUCUGAAGAGUCUGAGAGUCUCUUCAGAACUACCCUUAGAAGCCCAAAAGAAGAAAGUAGCAGUCAAGCUCUUAGGACAUGGUCUUCCAAGGGAUUGGUAGAGAGGGUAGCUUCAUAGCAUGUGCCACAAAUGUAUUACUUCUUACUAAUUAAUAAAAUUACAAAUGGGAAAGAGAAUCUUAAUUUG
RNAcentral lists this long non-coding RNA (1525 nucleotides) under Monodelphis domestica (gray short-tailed opossum). RNAcentral describes it as "lncRNA (ENSMODG00000039834.1)". Lineage: Eukaryota; Metazoa; Chordata; Mammalia; Didelphimorphia; Didelphidae. The record is from RNAcentral.